RNAcentral lists this ribosomal RNA (404 nucleotides) under Fusobacteriota bacterium. Its description in RNAcentral is "Fusobacteria bacterium partial 16S ribosomal RNA". It matches the Rfam family "Bacterial small subunit ribosomal RNA", at positions 355 to 776 of the family's 1533-position model. The record is from RNAcentral. Lineage: Bacteria; Fusobacteriati; Fusobacteriota.
UGGGGAAUAUUGCACAAUGGAGGGAACUCUGAUGCAGCGACGCCGCGUGAGUGAUGAAGGACUUCGUUUCGUAAAACUCUGUUCUAUGGGAAGAAAAGGACUGUACCAUAGGAGAAAGCUCCGGCUAAAUACGUGCCAGCAGCCGCGGUACUACGUAUGGAGCGAGCGUUGUCCGGAAUUAUUGGGCGUAAAGGGUGCGCAGGCGGCUUUACAAGUUGGAUGUGAAAUAUUGUGGCUCAACCACAAACGUGCAUCCAAAACUGCAAAGCUUGAGUGAAGGAGAGGUAAGUGGAAUUCCUGGUGUAGCGGUGGAAUGCGUAGAUAUCAGGAGGAAUACCGGUGGCGAAGGCGACUUACUGGACUUAAACUGACGCUCAGGCACGAAAGCGUGGGGAGCAAACAGG